Molecule: ribosomal RNA, 468 nt
Filed under: uncultured bacterium
Lineage: Bacteria
Description: partial 16S ribosomal RNA
Rfam family: Bacterial small subunit ribosomal RNA
Source: RNAcentral
GACGAACGCUGGCGGCGUGCUUAACACAUGCAAGUCGAACGGAAAGGCCCUGCUUUUGUGGGGUGCUCGAGUGGCGAACGGGUGAGUAACACGUGAGUAACCUGCACUUGACUUUGGGAUAACUUCAGGAAACUGGGGCUAAUACCGGAUAGGAGCUCCUGCUGCAUGGUGGGGGUUGGAAAGUUUCGGCGGUUGGGGAUGGACUGGCGGCUUAUCAGCUUGUUGGUGGGGUAGUGGCUUACCAAGGCUUUGACGGGUAGCCGGCCUGAGAGGGUGACCGGCCACAUUGGUACUGAGAUACGGCCCAGACUCCUACGGGCGGCAGCGGUGGGGAAUAUUGCACAAUGGGCGGAAGCGUGAUGCAGCAACGCCGGGUGCGGGAUGACGGCCUUCGGGUUGUAAACCGCUUUCGCCUGUGACGAAGCGUGAGUGACGGUAAUGGGUAAAGAAGCACCGGCUAACUACGUG